RNAcentral lists this ribosomal RNA (274 nucleotides) under uncultured bacterium. RNAcentral's name for it is "partial 16S ribosomal RNA". It matches the Rfam family "Bacterial small subunit ribosomal RNA", at positions 523 to 796 of the family's 1533-position model. The record is from RNAcentral.
AUACGGAGGCGGCUAGCGUUGUUCGGAAUUACUGGGCGUAAAGGGCGCGUAGGCGGAUUGUCAAGUCAGAGGUGAAAGCCCUGGGCUCAACCCGGGAACUGCCUUUGAAACUAACAGUCUUGAGUCCGAGAGAGGAUGGCGGAAUUCCCAGUGUAGAGGUGAAAUUCGUAGAUAUUGGGAAGAACACCAGUGGCGAAGGCGGCCAUCUGGCUCGGUACUGACGCUGAGGCGCGAAAGCGUGGGGAGCAAACAGGAUUAGAAACCCCAGUAGUCC